Molecule: transfer RNA, 74 nt
Filed under: Pseudomonadota bacterium
Lineage: Bacteria; Pseudomonadati; Pseudomonadota
Description: Proteobacteria bacterium tRNA-Arg
Rfam family: tRNA
About the family: Transfer RNA (tRNA) molecules are approximately 80 nucleotides in length. Their secondary structure includes four short double-helical elements and three loops (D, anti-codon, and T loops). Further hydrogen bonds mediate the characteristic L-shaped molecular structure. tRNAs have two regions of fundamental functional importance: the anti-codon, which is responsible for specific mRNA codon recognition, and the 3' end, to which the tRNAs corresponding amino acid is attached (by aminoacyl-tRNA synthetases). tRNAs cope with the degeneracy of the genetic code in two manners: having more than one tRNA (with a specific anti-codon) for a particular amino acid; and 'wobble' base-pairing, i.e. permitting non-standard base-pairing at the 3rd anti-codon position.
Source: RNAcentral
GAGGGCGUAGCUCAGUUGGAUAGAGCAUUAGAUUUCUAAUCUAACGGUCGUUGGUUCGAUCCCAAUCGCCCUCG